AUAGAACAUGCAGGAGCAAUCAUAUUUGCUUUCAAGAACAAGUUGGAUAUAACUUUAGAUGUUGCUUUGGGGUCUACAGCUCAAAUUGCAAUGUUUGUGGUGUAGAAGCAAUGCUUACUGAUUUUGGGCACUUCUCUGUAUGUGCCAUACAGGUUCUUAACCAACAACUCAUUAAGUGGGGAAGUACCUCAGUGGGUAUUUGACAGCAAGAAGAACUUUUGAGUCUACUUUAAGCUGAUUGAAGAGGUAUUGCAUGCUUUCUUUGGAUCAUAAUGACCUUUUUGGGUGUGAGUUGGGAAGAACAUAUAUUCAUACAUUCGUAUGAUGUCCAUGGAGUAGUUGGUUGCUAUCAUGUUAAAAAAGCAUACUUGGAAAACAGGGAAUAUUAUGGCAAUUGAUAUGCAAUAAGUUUAAAGGAGUCAGCCAAGAAAAUAAAUGUAGGCUUAUUGAAUAUUGAUACUUAUUUCUACUCUUUUUAAUAUUGAAAAGAUCUUCUCUUUUUAA
Long non-coding RNA from Juglans microcarpa x Juglans regia, 504 nucleotides. RefSeq lists it as uncharacterized. The record is from RefSeq and is a predicted model, not a curated record. The transcript has 5 exons. NCBI's taxonomy places the organism in Eukaryota, Viridiplantae, Streptophyta, Magnoliopsida, Fagales, Juglandaceae.